UGGGGAAUAUUGCACAAUGGGGGAAACCCUGAUGCAGCAACGCCGCGUGAGUGAUGAAGGUUUUCGGAUCGUAAAACUCUGUUGUUAGAGAAGAACACGAGUGAGAGUAACUGUUCAUUCGAUGACGGUAUCUAACCAGCAAGUCACGGCUAACUACGUGCCAG
This 164-nucleotide ribosomal RNA is filed under the name uncultured bacterium. RNAcentral describes it as "partial 16S rRNA". It matches the Rfam family "Bacterial small subunit ribosomal RNA", at positions 355 to 511 of the family's 1533-position model. The record is from RNAcentral.